AGUAGUGGAGCAGAUCAUGGAUCUUAUCUUCCCAAGUGGAGUGGAUCGAAGCACCAAUUCCUAUACCUCUGAAGAUGCGGUAGGAUGGGAUGAGGCUACUUAAAGAAGAGGAACACAAAGGUCCAAGCACGACCGGGCAAAAUUGGUCAUUUUUAAAGUCUUUGCUCCGUUUCCAUUACACGACAAACGAGUAAAGAGGGGCAGCUGUAAUAGGCCAAUUUUGGCUCAAUCCAAAAUAAACCAAAUAAAGUCCAAAUAGUAAAUAAAAACCCAAUUACCCUAGCCUAAUACAAACCCAAUACAUAACAACAAACCCUAGUCCACAAAAAAAUAAAAACAAAAAAGAAAGAAACCCUAAAGCAGAAAAAUCAGCAGUCGCCGCUCCGUCUCCAGCCCCGCACGACUCGGAGCCAGCCUCCGCGCGUAUUGUUUUCUCCGCACUAGCCGCCACAUUCACCUGCAAAGUAGACUAGGAGAGUCCAAAAUUAAAUACAAACAGUGUAAAAAAAAUAGAAAAAAU
RNAcentral lists this long non-coding RNA (520 nucleotides) under Gossypium raimondii (Peruvian cotton). RNAcentral's name for it is "long non-coding RNA (GRAI_LNC002212)". Lineage: Eukaryota; Viridiplantae; Streptophyta; Magnoliopsida; Malvales; Malvaceae. The record is from RNAcentral.